Molecule: ribosomal RNA, 595 nt
Filed under: uncultured bacterium
Lineage: Bacteria
Description: bacterial SSU rRNA
Rfam family: Bacterial small subunit ribosomal RNA
Source: RNAcentral
UGCGCGUCCUACACAUGCAAGUCCAAGGGAGAACGGGGAUUCUUCGGAGUCCCUAGUAAACUGGCGCAAGGGUGAGUAACACGUAGGCAACCUGCCCUACAGUGGGGGAUAACACUGGGAAACCGGUGCUAAUACCGCAUGACAUCCAGAGAUCGCAUGAUCUUUGGAUUAAAGAAAUCCCUGGCAACAGGGUAUCGCUGUAGGAGGGGCCUGCGGCCUAUUAGCUAGUUGGUAGGGUAACGGCCUACCAAGGCGAUGAUGGGUAGCUGGUCUGAGAGGAUGGUCAGCCACACUGGCACUGAGACACGGGCCAGACUCCUACGGGAGGCAGCAGUGAGGAAUUUUGGGCAAUGGGCGAAAGCCUGACCCAGCAACGCCGCGUGGGUGAUGACGUUCUGCGGAACGUAAAACCCUGUUGGGGGGGAUGAAAUUCCUGCAUUGCAGGAAUCGACAGUACCCCCAAAGAAAGCUCCGGCCAACUCCGUGCCAGCAGCCGCGGUAAUACGGGGGGAGCGAGCGUUGUCCGGAUUCACUGGGCGUAAAGCGCGUGUAGGCGGGUUGGUAAGUCAGUGGUGAAAGCCCUCAGCUUAACUGA